UGUACAGAUUUCUCCCAGCACAGUCAACCUGCAGGGCACUGGAAUGCAAAGACUUUAGCCCACACAAAGAGGAGAGGAAACAGAGUGAGCACUGAGACUCUGAAGACCUGACAACCUACAUGCCUCCAUGGGGAACACCAGUUUUACGGAAGGGAAGACUGCCCUGUCUGUGGGUGGCUCUUCAAUAGCCAGGGGAAAGACUUCCAUCACAAUGGGCAAAUCCUCCAUCACCCGUGGGGUCACCACUACCUCUAUGGGCGACUCUACCAUUACCAGAGGCAAAACCACCAUCUCCCUGGGCAGAGCCAGCUUUAGCAGAGGCAAAACUACAACCUCCAUCCGUAAGGCCUUCAUGCCCAAGCGCAGGACCAAAUAGAUGGAAAAGAGAUCGGCAUACGCUGAAACAAAGAGCAAGACUUCAACGGCAAGGAAGAGCACUGAGAAGGAUGAGACAACAGAUCUAGAGCAAGAGGAAGACUCAAAAGCCUCAAAAGGAAAGGCUUCUCUUCUACUAAGAAAGACUUGCUUUACAAAAGGGAAAAUCAGACUGAUGAAAAGCAAAAAGGCCAUCUCAUGGGGGAAGACGCUUCUUUCGAGGAGCAAGACCAAACUGAGGAAGGGAGAGACUGCAUUUGUGAGUUCUUGAAUCACCGGAGUCCACACCUUUACAUUACUAGCUUCAGCUGUCCGGAAAACUUUCUCAAGGAGAUGCGCUAAACUGGCCAUUCCAUUUUUAUUGGAAAGUCAAGACAUGAGAACAUCGACAAGAGCUGAUCUUUGACUGCUGGAACUCUUACCUCUCAACUUUUGACCAGGGAGGCAGCCAUCAUGCCCUAUUGUACCCUACAAUGUGGUUUUGCCCUUUAGUGACAAUGCCACAGCCAUCCAUUGUUACAGAUCUUAUGGAAACCUCAAUCCAAAACAUCUUACAUUGGACUCAAGGUAUCCCGAUAGUAAAAACCAACCAACAAACAUAUAUAAACGUAUCAUGAGUGCCCUUAUUUUGAAGCUUUUUUAUUUAGCCUGACAUUUGUUUAGUCUGAGUGAAAAAACUGAUGAAACUGUGUGACUGUCUCUAGUUAUAUUAUGUCAAUGAUCUAGACUGUAUACUGUAUGUGUAACCAUUGUAGAAGAAGCAUGCGAAAAAUGCGAAAUCACUAAUGCUUUUGAUCUUAGCAUUGAAGGAACUGGACGGUGGGUGGGUUAUGGUGGGGAGUGAAAUUAACCAUGUUUCUGUUGGUCAGAACCCUUCUCCGCAAUGUCAGCAACUCUCAGUUUUAGCAAAGAUGCUUCAGAUAAACACACUGGCUCAAUUUGGGAUUUACUAUGAAAACUACACCCCCCCCCCUCCCUCUGGGUAAACUAAUUGGCAAGUUUAAACACUCCAGAAAUUCUACCUGGUUAAAGUUCGUUAUAGACUAUUCAACAGCUUUCAUAAAUAAGCAUUUACACUGAGAGACAUGACAAUGGGAAUGAGGGUUUGAUGAUUGAGAGUGAAGGAAAUAAAACGUAAUAAACUCCUGAUCUCAACCUACCAGAGAAAUACAGACACAUGACAGAGACACAACAUGUCCCCCCUAAGGGAAAUAUAAAGUAACUGAGCUAAUCGUGAUCCAAUUAAAUUAAGAACUGUUUGAGAUUUCUUUGCUAGCAGCCUUUAAUUGUAAUUCAGAUUUUUUUUUCUUGUCAAGUCCUGUGUCGCUUGUCGUUAAAUGUUACAAACAGCUCUGGCGUGGCCGCAUGAGGGAUGUGGGUUGUAGAAAAAGGCCUCUGCCCUUUUCAACAAGAGUGUCUUUGUGUUUAUAAUCAUCUGUAAGGUCUGAAGUCCAUUUUUGUCAUUCUUUGUUGUUCAUUUUUUCACCAUGCAUUUGCAUAGUAUGUGUUUCAUGUGUUUAACAACUCCUACGUUAUGUCAUCCCGAUGGUAGAACCUUGGACAGUUCGGUUCUAACCACUGUGCUGUAUGCUUAAUAAAUAUUUGUUGACAUU
This is a non-coding RNA of Danio rerio (zebrafish), 1988 nucleotides long. Ensembl annotates it as zwilling. Its record names the gene zwi. The record is from Ensembl. NCBI's taxonomy places the organism in Eukaryota, Metazoa, Chordata, Actinopteri, Cypriniformes, Danionidae.